This 73-nucleotide transfer RNA is filed under the name Stegodyphus mimosarum. It matches the Rfam family "tRNA". From Rfam's summary of the family: Transfer RNA (tRNA) molecules are approximately 80 nucleotides in length. Their secondary structure includes four short double-helical elements and three loops (D, anti-codon, and T loops). Lineage: Eukaryota; Metazoa; Arthropoda; Arachnida; Araneae; Eresidae. The record is from Rfam by way of RNAcentral.
GCCUUUGUGGUGCAGUGGUCAGCACGCUUGGCACGUAUUCAAGAGGUCCAUGGUUCGAGUCCCGGUGAGGGCA